RNAcentral lists this ribosomal RNA (497 nucleotides) under uncultured bacterium. Its description in RNAcentral is "partial 16S ribosomal RNA". It matches the Rfam family "Bacterial small subunit ribosomal RNA", at positions 28 to 507 of the family's 1533-position model. The record is from RNAcentral.
GACGAACGCUGGCGGCGUGCCUAAUACAUGCAAGUUGAGCGAUGAAGAUUGGUGCUUGCACCAAUUUGAAGAGCAGCGAACGGGUGAGUAACGCGUGGGGAAUCUGCCUUUGAGCGGGGGACAACAUUUGGAAACGAAUGCUAAUACCGCAUAACAACUUUAAACAUAAGUUUUAAGUUUGAAAGAUGCAAUUGCAUCACUCAAAGAUGGUCCCGCGUUGUAUUAGCUAGUUGGUGAGGUAAAGGCUCACCAAGGCGAUGAUACAUAGCCGACCUGAGAGGGUGAUCGGCCACAUUGGGACUGAGACACGGCCCAAACUCCUACGGGAGGCAGCAGUAGGGAAUCUUCGGCAAUAGACGAAAGUCUGACCGAGCAACGCCGCGUGAGUGAAGAAGGUUUUCGGAUCGUAAAACUCUGUUGGUAGAGAAGAACGUUGGUGAGAGUGGAAAGCUCAUCAAGUGACGGUAACUACCCAGAAAGGGACGGCUAACUACGUG